RNAcentral lists this ribosomal RNA (179 nucleotides) under Rubus crataegifolius. RNAcentral's name for it is "5.8S ribosomal RNA". The stretch from base 10 to 165 matches the Rfam family "5.8S ribosomal RNA". From Rfam's summary of the family: 5.8S ribosomal RNA (5.8S rRNA) is a component of the large subunit of the eukaryotic ribosome. The record is from RNAcentral. Lineage: Eukaryota; Viridiplantae; Streptophyta; Magnoliopsida; Rosales; Rosaceae.
UGUCUAAACGACUCUCGGCAACGGAUAUCUCGGCUCUCGCAUCGAUGAAGAACGUAGCGAAAUGCGAUACUUGGUGUGAAUUGCAGAAUCCCGUGAACCAUCGAGUCUUUGAACGCAAGUUGCGCCCGAAGCCAUUAGGCCGAGGGCACGCCUGCCUGGGCGUCACACGUCGUUGCCCC